GCCCCCAAAUCUACGCCAGCUAUCACUUGAUUUGUUUGAAAUGCCUCGCUGAUGGCUUUGCAGGAAGCUGAAAUUUUACCAAGCGAGGUACAGCACAGCUGUGAGGUUCCCCCCUUUAGUAUUUGCUUCCAAACUUCACGAUUAUAACUCUGGAUUCUCCACACUCCAGCAAGUUUCCCACAAGACCUGAAAGAGGAGGUUUGUCUCGUGUCACUUGUUACUUCAAGGGCCACAUUCGAGCAUCUGUCAUGUUCAUGUUCUCAAGAAGUCGUUAGAACACACAUAAAUUUAGCAGACGCUUCAUGCACGGCUCCAAGCACUAGAAUAGCAAAUGGACGUCGUGGAGAAAGCCGCUGGCCUCAAGGAGCCCACAGCCUAGCAGGAGACACCACGUGCUUCGAGCCAUAAGGAGGAUGAGAGCCAGCAGCUACAGAGGCACCGGGGCUGGGGAGGCGGCCUCCUUGAUGUGUGCCCCCGGGCCGUGGGGUGAGGGUCUUCUGGACUCCAAGAACAGGGAAAGCCCUUCCAAGGGCAUCAGGCCUGAGCUGGGCAUGGACUGUAGCAUCACGGGAUGGUCCAGAGGCAGUGCCAUGCGGCUGCCACCACGGACAAUCACGAACAGUCUGAGGCAGCAAAUUGCAAGUCUGUGUCUUCAAUGAAGGGGAAACUUUUCCUACCUAAACUCCCGAGGUUCUGAAACCCCUCUGCCUCCAGCUCAGUGAAGGCAGAGGACAGACCCACAGUGGAAACGUUGUCGUCCUUCUGGGCAAGUCUUCCUAGAAGAGAGCCGAGGAACUCUCUGUUCUCCAGGCGACCGCACUGGAGGCUUGGGAAGCCCCGCAACCUCGCAGCAGCCGAUGCUCUGAGACGGUGGCUCGUCGCCCGCAGCAGUCUUUCCAAGGACCCGGUCUCGAGCUCUGCUGCUCCCGCUGAAUCCAAUGGGUCUUGUUCAAACUGCACCCGGGACUGUGGCGUGGCGUGCAUGUUCGGAGCCUGGGCCCAGAGCCGGCUGUCCCGCUUCUAAUCUGCCGCUGGAGACACAGACCGCUUUAAGCCCCACGCCUCUCCUGCUGAUGAUGGGGAAAGCUGGCCUCACACUCCAACCCCCCACCACCCCAGACCUGACAGGGAAGAGAAGCUCAGGGAGUUUCCAGCAUCGGCUCCAAACGAGUGGAAGUCCGGCCCCAUCCUCCAACUUCCUGUCGGCAAGUCCGGGCCUCGGCUAGCCCAUUCAGCCAGAAGGCGCCUGGCGGAGGGCUCCAGCGUUCGCUCUUGCCUUCCCCUCCUCCAGCCUCUUCUCCCUCUGGCCUCCACCCAGCUCCACGGUGACCAUCCUUCAGGUGGAAUUCCCUCCCCAGCGGCAGCGGAUGCAUCUCCCUCUUCCCAGCCCAAGGGACCUUUCCUCCUAUGGGCAGGCACAGCCCGCACUGGGCGCAUCCCGUCCCGGCCCCCGAGUAGAGUGUAAGCUCUGUGUGGGCCAAAGCGAAGACUGCACAUGGUUAUUUCCACCCCACGCGCCUCCCCCUGGCACAGAGGUGGAGCAGGCACUAGGUAAACACUUACUGGUGGAGGAGAAGGAAACAGCUCCAAGGUGCAAUGCGCCGAUUUCCUGACACUCCAGGUCACCUGGUGGAGCAAGGACAUUGUUCUGAGAAGUCUGCACCCAUAAAGAUAAGGGAGAGAGGAAAGGCCAUACACCAUAAUUUCUCCCAUGUUACUGCAGAUGAUUUCAUAUCGAAAUGGAAGGUGGAGGGGAGGCAGGAAUGACGGCACCCUAGACGGAGCAGGGCCCCGAGGGG
This 1799-nucleotide long non-coding RNA is filed under the name Equus caballus (horse). RNAcentral describes it as "lncRNA (ENSECAG00000028170.2)". The record is from RNAcentral. Lineage: Eukaryota; Metazoa; Chordata; Mammalia; Perissodactyla; Equidae.